AGUAACGCGUGGAUAACCUGCCUCACACUGGGGGAUAACAGUUAGAAAUGACUGCUAAUACCGCAUAAGCGCACAGUACCGCAUGGUACAGUGCGAAAAACUCCGGUGGUGUGAGAUGGAUCCGCGUCUGAUUAGCCAGUUGGCGGGUAACGCCCACCAAAGCGACGAUCAGUAGCCGACCUGAGAGGGUGACCGGCCACAUUGGGACUGAGACACGGCCCAA
RNAcentral lists this ribosomal RNA (223 nucleotides) under uncultured bacterium. RNAcentral's name for it is "partial 16S ribosomal RNA". It matches the Rfam family "Bacterial small subunit ribosomal RNA", at positions 109 to 334 of the family's 1533-position model. The record is from RNAcentral.